UUCCUUUCCUUUUUCAACUCUGCCAAGCAAUGGAGGUAAAAAUAAAAAUUACUUUUUCUUUCAAUUUUUCCAUCUCUCCUACCAAGCACACCUAUGGAAAGAAAAAAAAUAUAUUUUCCCUCAUUCUAUUUUUCUGCCCCUUCAAUUUUCCAUCUUUAGAAGAAUGGAAAACAUUAUUUUUCUUUCCAUAGGUGUCCUUGCCAGGAGAGAUGAAAAAAUGGAUUCUAUCCAUUGCUUGGUAGAGUUGAAAACUGAAAGGAAA
Molecule: microRNA precursor, 262 nt
Filed under: Gossypium raimondii (Peruvian cotton)
Lineage: Eukaryota; Viridiplantae; Streptophyta; Magnoliopsida; Malvales; Malvaceae
Description: miR8767c stem-loop (gra-MIR8767c)
Source: miRBase by way of RNAcentral